Molecule: ribosomal RNA, 422 nt
Filed under: uncultured prokaryote
Description: bacterial SSU rRNA
Rfam family: Bacterial small subunit ribosomal RNA
Source: RNAcentral
UAAGGAAUAUUGGUCAAUGGGCGGAAGCCUGAACCAGCCAUGCCGCGUGCAGGAAGACGGCCUUAUGGGUUGUAAACUGCUUUUGACGGGGAAAAAACGCCGAUACGUGUAUUGGUUUGCUUGUACCUGUUGAAUAAGCAUCGGCUAACUCUGUGCCAGCAGCCGCGGUAAUACAGAGGUCCCGAGCGUUGUUCGGAUUCACUGGGCGUAAAGGGUGCGUAGGUGGUGAGGUAAGUCGGAUGUGAAAUCUCGGAGCUUAACUCCGAAAUGGCAUUGGAAACUGCCUUGCUAGAGGUUCGGAGGGGGGACUGGAAUACUUGGUGUAGCAGUGAAAUGCGUAGAUAUCAAGUGGAACACCAGUGGCGAAGGCGAGUCCCUGGACGGUUACUGACGCUGGGACGCGAAAGCGUGGGGAGCAAACA